UUAGUAUUUGGUCGUAGACCCGAAACCAGGUGAUCUACCCUUGGUCAGGUUGAAGUUCAGGUAACACUGAAUGGAGGACCGAACCGACUUACGUUGAAAAGUGAGCGGAUGAACUGAGGGUAGCGGAGAAAUUCCAAUCGAACCUGGAGAUAGCUGGUUCUCUCCGAAAUAGCUUUAGGGCUAGCCUCAAGUGAUGAUUAUUGGAGGUAGAGCACUGUUUGGACGAGGGGCCCCUCUCGGGUUACCGAAUUCAGACAAACUCCGAAUGCCAAUUAAUUUAACUUGGGAGUCAGAACAUGGGUGAUAAGGUCCGUGUUCGAAAGGGAAACAGCCCAGACCACCAGCUAAGGUCCCAAAAUAUAUGUUAAGUGGAAAAGGAUGUGGCGUUGCCCAGACAACUAGGAUGUUGGCUUAGAAGCAGCCAUCAUUUAAAGAGUGCGUAAUAGCUCACUAGUCGAGUGACACUGCGCCGAAAAUGUACCGGGGCUAAACAUAUUACCGAAGCUGUGGAUUGUCC
This 517-nucleotide ribosomal RNA is filed under the name Staphylococcus aureus. RNAcentral describes it as "partial 23S ribosomal RNA". It matches the Rfam family "Bacterial large subunit ribosomal RNA", at positions 696 to 1212 of the family's 2925-position model. The record is from RNAcentral. Lineage: Bacteria; Bacillati; Bacillota; Bacilli; Caryophanales; Staphylococcaceae.